UACAGAGGGUGCAAGCGUUGUUCGGAAUUACUGGGCGUAAAGCGCGUGUAGGCUGCGAUGUAAGUCAGGUGUGAAAGCCCUCAGCUUAACUGGGGAAGUGCACUUGAUACUGUGUCGCUUGAGUGUCGGAGGGGGUGGCGGAAUUCCCGGUGUAGAGGUGAAAUUCGUAGAUAUCGGGAGGAACACCUGUGGCGAAGGCGGCCACCUGGACGACAACUGACGCUGAGACGCGAAAGCGUGGGUAGCAAACAGG
RNAcentral lists this ribosomal RNA (253 nucleotides) under uncultured bacterium. Its description in RNAcentral is "partial 16S ribosomal RNA". It matches the Rfam family "Bacterial small subunit ribosomal RNA", at positions 524 to 776 of the family's 1533-position model. The record is from RNAcentral.